GAUUAACGCUAGCGGCAGGCCUAAUACAUGCAAGUUGAACGGGAUUUCGGGUAGCAAUAUCUGAAUGAGAGUGGCGCACGGGUGCGUAACACGUAUGCAAUCUACCUCUGACUGGGGAAUAGCCUUCCGAAAGGAAGAUUAAUACCGCAUAACAUAAUGAAGUGGCAUCACUUUAUUAUCAAAACUCCGGUGGUCAGAGAUGAGCAUGCGUCCGAUUAGCUAGUUGGCGAGGUAACGGCUCACCAAGGCAACGAUCGGGUAGGGGGUCUGAGAGGAUGACUCCCCCACACUGGUACUGAGACACGGACC
RNAcentral lists this ribosomal RNA (309 nucleotides) under uncultured bacterium. RNAcentral describes it as "bacterial SSU rRNA". It matches the Rfam family "Bacterial small subunit ribosomal RNA", at positions 28 to 332 of the family's 1533-position model. The record is from RNAcentral.